This 30-nucleotide non-coding RNA is filed under the name Mus musculus (house mouse). Lineage: Eukaryota; Metazoa; Chordata; Mammalia; Rodentia; Muridae. The record is from RNAcentral.
UGCCAAUUGGCUGUGACUAGUCUAUGAACU